GUGUUAUAAGUGUCCCACAAGACAACAGUCCUGAAACCGAACACCCAGGAAAUCUUAUAAAGCCAGAUCCCCGUCCAACAGGGUUAACUCCAGACUCCAGAAAAUGUGAAAAAGCAUGUGUCUGACCACCCAGCAAUUCUGGACUUUGAAAGUCAAGGAGGUUUGAAGAUCCGUCAGCCCUGUACUUGCUCACGAAGAAAAUUGUAUGAAGGCACAGCACUGUGUUUUCUGAACUUCAGCAAUCUCCACUCUCCCCUGAGUGCUCAGCGGACCGUCUACCACCACGUGAACACUUGCUCAUUCACCCUCUGAUACUAACUGUAGUCCUUCGGCAACAUGUAUAUAAUCUUGAGAAGAUGGUCUGUGCUAGGGUCCCAAUAGAUGCUCCAGUCAACGUGCAGAGAGAAGAGCUGACUAAGCACCUCACCCCAGGCCUAGUGGACACUCACAGGGAACGUAUAUUCUGCUCAUCCAUCAGAGGAAAAGCUAAGGCAAAGAAAUGGUCAUUUACAACUUCACUUUGAGCUUAGAUGUAUUCCACAGAAUAGGGAGGCAGAAAGUAGCAUUCUCUUUUUACUGGACUAGGUAAAAACAACACAACUCAAUUAACUUAAAUACGCACUGACAAUCUGUCCCAGAUGAGCAUCGGGAAGAAUCUGGCACAAGAAUAAGACAAACAGAAUUAGAACAAAUAGGUGUCUCUCCAAUUGUGUUCCUUAAAAAAAGAUUUAAUUGGUUUAUUGAGGAAUCUUAUCUCAUUGUGAAGUAAACACGAUUUCCCCAAAUUACUGCUUUUAAUUUUAAUCUGUUGAGACUCCCUUCUCCAAUGGAUAUCAAGUCCCUUAACAUUAUCUUGGCAGGUUUUUCAACUAGCAAAAAGUUAAUAAUCGAACUUACCUAAGCUGACAUCCAUACAUCAAUUAGCAGUACAACUAUCCCUUCUCUCUUAGACAAUAGAAAGCUUAACUUUGGAAAAUGCUGCCGUUCAUGAUUACAUUAUACUUUUUAUAGUUAAGAAGCAGUUAAAAUAACACAAUUCCUUAAUAUAGAACUUAAGGAAGACUCAGUCUUAAGUGCAUUCCCCACCAAGGAUCAUACCUUAUUCAUCCUUACGUUUCCAAUACCUAGCACAGGUUUUGCUGUGCUAAACCACAGUAGGUGGUUGCCAAUACAUGCUCAGAUAAACUUACUGUUGACAAGCUAAAUAUUAAGGAGCAGAGGCCACUGAGUUAUUAAAACAAUAGAAAAACAGGGUAACUGCACUUCCUCAAAUUACAGAGUUAUUUGACAGACAUUAUUACAGUUAAUAAAAUCUAAUGACAGAUGUCAGCUUUUAUAAAUUGAGAGUUUAAAAAAGAUUCUUUUACGUAGGCUCC
Molecule: long non-coding RNA, 1376 nt
Organism: Enhydra lutris kenyoni (northern sea otter)
Lineage: Eukaryota; Metazoa; Chordata; Mammalia; Carnivora; Mustelidae
Exons: 3
Source: RefSeq, a predicted model, not a curated record